CCAGACUCCUACGGGAGGCAGCAGUGGGGAAUAUUGGGCAAUGGGCGCAAGCCUGGCCCAGCAACGCCGCGUGAAGGAAGAAGGCUUUCGGGUUGUAAACUUCUUUUAUUCGGGACGAAGAAAGUGACGGUACCGAAUGAAUAAGCCACGGCUAACUACGUGCCAGCAGCCGCGGUAAUACGUAGGUGGCAAGCGUUAUCCGGAUUUAUUGGGUGUAAAGGGCGUGUAGGCGGGAAUGCAAGUCAGAUGUGAAAACUCAGGGCUCAACCCUGAGCCUGUAUUUGAAACUGUAUUUCUUGAGUGCUGGAGAGGCAAUCGGAAUUCCGUGUGUAGCGGUGAAAUGCGUAGAUAUUAGGAGGAACACCAGUGGCGAAGGCGGCUUACUGGACUGUAACUGACGUUGAGGCUCGAAAGCGUGGGGAGCAAACAGGAUUAGAUACCCCCGUAU
Molecule: ribosomal RNA, 448 nt
Filed under: uncultured bacterium
Lineage: Bacteria
Description: bacterial SSU rRNA
Rfam family: Bacterial small subunit ribosomal RNA
Source: RNAcentral